This is a small nuclear RNA of Neogale vison (American mink), 183 nucleotides long. RefSeq annotates it as U2 spliceosomal RNA. The transcript has a single exon. Lineage: Eukaryota; Metazoa; Chordata; Mammalia; Carnivora; Mustelidae. The record is from RefSeq and is a predicted model, not a curated record.
AUCGCUUCUCGGCCUUUUGGCUAAGAUCAAGUGUAGUAUCUGUUCUUAUCAGUUACGUAAGUCACUGCAGUUACGUAAGUCACUCAUUUGUUUCUUCUGUGCUCAUUCAUUUUACGGACACCGGUUUGAGCUGAGGUUUUCGGUACUUGCCAUGAAAACUCUUCACUGUCAGCCUCACUCUUU